Molecule: long non-coding RNA, 444 nt
Filed under: Bos taurus (domestic cattle)
Lineage: Eukaryota; Metazoa; Chordata; Mammalia; Artiodactyla; Bovidae
Description: long non-coding RNA NONBTAT024768
Source: RNAcentral
CAUCCGUCUUUCCAGGCGGAUGUUGAAAGCGAUAACUGGCUCGGAUGGCAAAUAUAAACUAUGACACUGCUGGAAAUAGCACUGCACUUGUUGAAGCAGGCAGGGGUGGGUUGCUUAGAGCCCAUGGACUAUUUCUCAAAGAAUCUCUCUGAACACAGGCUGCAAGGAACAAAGACACAUUAAAAGCCACUAUCUCAGCCCUCUGGAGGUCUGGCCUUGUGGGGCAAGGUGGAGACCAGGGCAAGGGAAGCAUGGGACAUUUAAGGAGGCACUUGCUCUCAGGUUGUGCACACCUUAAGAAAGCUUCUGGUUAAUUGAUGAAGACCCCAAUCGAUGGCGGAGGAGGAGUCCUGGCUCUCUUUACUUGUGGCUUCUGGGUCUUUCUGAAGAAGGAAGGAGCUAUAGCAGUUAUUUCUGGUAUGUACAUCAGUAAGUCAGUUAAAG